Long non-coding RNA from Neodiprion fabricii, 136 nucleotides. RefSeq lists it as uncharacterized. The record is from RefSeq and is a predicted model, not a curated record. NCBI's taxonomy places the organism in Eukaryota, Metazoa, Arthropoda, Insecta, Hymenoptera, Diprionidae. The transcript has 3 exons.
UAUAUACAUUAUAUAUAGUGUUACAAGGGGUAAAAUCACCUGUUUUGCCCCUUUUUAGUCAUCUAGUAGUCAUCAUAGAUAAAAGACGUUUAUAAACCUCCAAAGUCUUUCACAAGAAUAAGGUUGCUGUGUCAAC